This 605-nucleotide ribosomal RNA is filed under the name Salmonella enterica. RNAcentral describes it as "bacterial SSU rRNA". It matches the Rfam family "Bacterial small subunit ribosomal RNA", at positions 108 to 709 of the family's 1533-position model. The record is from RNAcentral. RNAcentral also lists the same sequence under 1 other name. Lineage: Bacteria; Pseudomonadati; Pseudomonadota; Gammaproteobacteria; Enterobacterales; Enterobacteriaceae.
GAGUAAUGUCUGGGAAACUGCCUGAUGGAGGGGGAUAACUACUGGAAACGGUGGCUAAUACCGCAUAACGUCGCAAGACCAAAGAGGGGGACCUUCGGGCCUCUUGCCAUCAGAUGUGCCCAGAUGGGAUUAGCUUGUUGGUGAGGUAACGGCUCACCAAGGCGACGAUCCCUAGCUGGUCUGAGAGGAUGACCAGCCACACUGGAACUGAGACACGGUCCAGACUCCUACGGGAGGCAGCAGUGGGGAAUAUUGCACAAUGGGCGCAAGCCUGAUGCAGCCAUGCCGCGUGUAUGAAGAAGGCCUUCGGGUUGUAAAGUACUUUCAGCGGGGAGGAAGGUGUUGUGGUUAAUAACCGCAGCAAUUGACGUUACCCGCAGAAGAAGCACCGGCUAACUCCGUGCCAGCAGCCGCGGUAAUACGGAGGGUGCAAGCGUUAAUCGGAAUUACUGGGCGUAAAGCGCACGCAGGCGGUCUGUCAAGUCGGAUGUGAAAUCCCCGGGCUCAACCUGGGAACUGCAUUCGAAACUGGCAGGCUUGAGUCUUGUAGAGGGGGGUAGAAUUCCAGGUGUAGCGGUGAAAUGCGUAGAGAUCUGGAGGAAUAC